Molecule: non-coding RNA, 205 nt
Filed under: Ostreococcus sp. 'lucimarinus'
Lineage: Eukaryota; Viridiplantae; Chlorophyta; Mamiellophyceae; Mamiellales; Bathycoccaceae
Source: RNAcentral
GCGCGCGUGCCGCGUCCGCGACGCGUCGACGGCCGCGGACUCCAUCCGCGCGGAUCGCGCGUCCGCCUUCGAGCUCGCGGUCCGCGUCGCGGCGUCCCUGACGGGGCGCCGCGGCGCGGUUGGAGCGCCGGACACCGCGCGAGGCGGGGAACCGAACUGCGUCACCGGCCGCCGCGAGCGGCGAGCGGGGAGCGCGCGAGAGCGG